AUGACAAUGCUUUCGAUAGUCCGUACUAAAUUACUUUGUACGAAUGCACAUCUCGGCCGUCGGGUAGCUGAUCACCAUUUCAAAGUCUAUAUCCGUGGUUCAAGAAAUGGAAUUGCUAUUCUCGAUUCAGACAAGACACUGAUUUGUUUACGAAACGCUCUUCAUUUUAUAGGAUCUCCCAGUCGUCAAAAAGGUCGUUCCUUCUUUUUAAAGACCAAUCAUUUAUUUAUUUAUGAGAUAACGGAAGAAAUGGCGAGCUAUUUAAGAAGCUAUUUAAGAAAUGUGAAUUCUCAUUGUUUCGAUGAUUCUCAAUAG
This 315-nucleotide ribosomal RNA is filed under the name Triticum aestivum (bread wheat). RNAcentral's name for it is "partial small subunit ribosomal RNA". Lineage: Eukaryota; Viridiplantae; Streptophyta; Magnoliopsida; Poales; Poaceae. The record is from RNAcentral.